This 253-nucleotide ribosomal RNA is filed under the name uncultured bacterium. Its description in RNAcentral is "partial 16S ribosomal RNA". It matches the Rfam family "Bacterial small subunit ribosomal RNA", at positions 524 to 776 of the family's 1533-position model. The record is from RNAcentral.
UACAGAGGGUGCGAGCGUUAAUCGGAAUUACUGGGCGUAAAGCGUGCGUAGACGGUUAUUUAAGUCGGGUGUGAAAGCCCCGGGCUCAACCUGGGAAUUGCAUUCGAGACUGAAUAGCUAGGGUACGGUAGAGGGAAGCGGAAUUUCCGGUGUAGCGGUGAAAUGCGUAGAUAUCGGAAGGAACACCAGUGGCGAAGGCGGCUUCCUGGCCUGUUCUUGACGCUGAGGCGCGAAAGCUAGGGGAGCAAACGGG